GCGCCCGUAGCUCAGGCGGAUAGAGCGAGUGCCUUCUAAGCACUGGGUCGCAGGUUCGAGUCCUGCCGGGCGCGCCA
RNAcentral lists this transfer RNA (77 nucleotides) under Actinomycetota bacterium. RNAcentral's name for it is "tRNA-Arg". It matches the Rfam family "tRNA". From Rfam's summary of the family: Transfer RNA (tRNA) molecules are approximately 80 nucleotides in length. The record is from RNAcentral. Lineage: Bacteria; Bacillati; Actinomycetota.